Long non-coding RNA from Melospiza melodia melodia, 205 nucleotides. RefSeq lists it as uncharacterized. NCBI's taxonomy places the organism in Eukaryota, Metazoa, Chordata, Aves, Passeriformes, Passerellidae. The transcript has 3 exons. The record is from RefSeq and is a predicted model, not a curated record.
GGAAUCCUGAGAGGGUUCAGGGCCCUGGGAUUCCACAGUCACCCCACCCCUGUUUCAUUUGCAGCCGCCAGGAAGCAGCAGGAAAGGGCUCCAUCGGAUCCCCUGGCCCCCCCAGAGGAGGGGGAGGUGCUGUACACCUACGUCGUGGUCACCAAGAGGGCAGGGGGAUCCCCAGGUGACCUACGCUGAGCUGCAGAGACCCCAG